UGGGGAAUAUUGCGCAAUGGGCGAAAGCCUGACGCAGCGACGCCGCGUGAGGGAUGACGGCCUUCGGGUUGUAAACCUCUUUCAGCAGGGAAGAAGCGAAAGUGACGGUACCUGCAGAAGAAGCACCGGCUAACUACGUGCCAGCAGCCGCGGUAAUACGUAGGGUGCAAGCGUUGUCCGGAAUUAUUGGGCGUAAAGAGCUCGUAGGCGGUCUGUCGCGUCGGAUGUGAAAACCCAGGGCUCAACCCUGGGCCUGCAUUCGAUACGGGCAGACUAGAGUUCGGUAGGGGAGACUGGAAUUCCUGGUGUAGCGGUGAAAUGCGCAGAUAUCAGGAGGAACACCGGUGGCGAAGGCGGGUCUCUGGGCCGAAACUGACGCUGAGGAGCGAAAGCGUGGGGAGCGAACAGGAUUAGAUACCCUGGUAGUCCGACGCCGUAAACGUUGGGCGCUAGGUGUGGGAACCUUCCACGUUCUCCGUGCCGCA
Molecule: ribosomal RNA, 485 nt
Filed under: uncultured Actinomycetes bacterium
Lineage: Bacteria; Bacillati; Actinomycetota; Actinomycetes
Description: bacterial SSU rRNA
Rfam family: Bacterial small subunit ribosomal RNA
Source: RNAcentral